RNAcentral lists this ribosomal RNA (492 nucleotides) under uncultured bacterium. RNAcentral describes it as "partial 16S ribosomal RNA". It matches the Rfam family "Bacterial small subunit ribosomal RNA", at positions 29 to 507 of the family's 1533-position model. The record is from RNAcentral.
AGUGAACGCUGGCGGUAGGCCUAACACAUGCAAGUCGAACGGCAGCACAGUAAGAGCUUGCUCUUACGGGUGGCGAGUGGCGGACGGGUGAGGAAUACAUCGGAAUCUACUUUUUCGUGGGGGAUAACGUAGGGAAACUUACGCUAAUACCGCAUACGACCUACGGGUGAAAGCAGGGGAUCUUCGGACCUUGCGCGAUUGAAUGAGCCGAUGUCGGAUUAGCUAGUUGGCGGGGUAAAGGCCCACCAAGGCGACGAUCCGUAGCUGGUCUGAGAGGAUGAUCAGCCACACUGGAACUGAGCCACGGUCCACGCUCCUACGGGAGGCAGCAGUGGGGAAUAUUGGACAAUGGGCGCAAGCCUGAUCCAGCCAUACCGCGUGGGUGAAGAAGGCCUUCGGGUUGUAAAGCCCUUUUGUUGGGAAAGAAAAGCAGCAGGUUAAUACCCCGCUGUUCUGACGGUACCCAAAGAAUAAGCACCGGCUAACUUCGUG